This 656-nucleotide ribosomal RNA is filed under the name uncultured Thelephora. RNAcentral describes it as "eukaryotic LSU rRNA". The stretch from base 226 to 380 matches the Rfam family "5.8S ribosomal RNA". Lineage: Eukaryota; Fungi; Basidiomycota; Agaricomycetes; Thelephorales; Thelephoraceae. The record is from RNAcentral.
GACCUGCGGAAGGAUCAUUAUCGAAACGUCGACACGAGCUGUUGCUGGCCCCCCCCUCUAGCGGGGGGACGCACGUGCACGCUCUGUCUACACAUCCGCUCACAUCUGUGCACCCUCCGUAGUUCUAUGGUCUAGAGGAGAGACUCCGUCCUCCUUCCGUAGUUCUGCGUCACCACACCCACUCUGUAACAAAGUCUUAUGGAACGUUUGAUGGCAAUGCAAUACAACUUUCAGCAACGGAUCUCUUGGCUCUCGCAUCGAUGAAGAACGCAGCGAAAUGCGAUAAGUAAUGUGAAUUGCAGAAUUCAGUGAAUCAUCGAAUCUUUGAACGCACCUUGCGCCCCUUGGCCAUUCCGAGGGGCAUGCCUGUUUGAGUAUCAUGAACACUUCAACUCUCACGGUCCGCCGUGAUGAGCUUGGACUUUGGGGGUUUUGCCGGCCUUUGCGGUCGGCUCCUCUCAAAUGGAUCAGCUUGCCAGCGUUUGGGGGCAUCGUAGGUGUGAUAACUAUCUACGCCUGCGGUCGCCUGCCAUGUAACCUUUGGCAACGGAGGUUCGCUGGGGCUUAUGAAAGCCCGAGGACGGCAUUUUGAACGUUCGAUCUCAAAUCAGGUAGGACUACCCGCUGAACUUAAGCAUAUCAAUAAGCGGAGGAAA